UAGGUGUUAACGACGUGGACUUAAACUCUUUACAUGAACGUGAAGAUGUUGGUGCCAAUUCAUAGGUAAUUGUCCCUUCUGGGCCUGGAUGCUGCGAGUCUCGAAGGAGCCUAAGCUCAAGAUCAUGGCAAGGGCUAAUCUUCUUAUACUUAAGGGGCUAGACAUCAUUGUCAGGAUGCAAUCAGCUUUGCUCAAUGAGACAAGUAAUUUUCUGGACUUCCUUUGGAGAUGAGCCAUGGCCCACGGGUAAACGGAGAUGGGAAGCAGCAGGGCUCCUCUCCUAUAGUAGAUGCCGAGUGAAUUUCUGAACGUACAAGGGCUUCAACUCUGUUCCAGCCAACAUAAGAGUGAUGGGAAUAACCAGUGGGUCAUGACCUAAGUAUUGUUCCUAUUUAAACACCCCCCCCCCUGCCAUCCCAUUGGUCAACAUCAUGUCUCACCCCUUCUCCAUCCAGACUGUGUGUGCACGCGUGACCAGGCCUGAGGUUCGAGCCCAUGGCUUGCAGACUUGCUCUUUUUGUUUGUGCUACCCAGAAUUCCUGGUGACAUUUGUUGUGUGAAGAUUACUCACUGGCCCGUAGCCUGGCGUAGCACAACAGUGAUGGCUUUAAAGACAUGGAGUUGGCGCUGUCCCAGCCUCGACACCUCACCCACAAACUGUGCCUCCUGUCAACCCCCCCACGGGCACCUAUUGUGGUGAAUCAGUGACCGUACCGUUCCUUCUUUCUGCUCUUCACCAACAAAUGAUGAACUAAGUGGGAAAAAAGACAGAAUGGAAUGAAGAAGAAUAGAAGAUCCAGAGCAUGUUGGCUUUUGACUUUUGGAGUCAUUGUGGACAAUGCAAGUGCUGGACCAUCAUUUUCAAAAUACUGACAGGUGAGCACACAGAAUCCCAGAGCUGUUUAAGACCAAUAUUCAGGAUUCAAGCUCAUGGUGUCCACCUGGGAGACAGAGAUGAGUAUUUCACUCACAUACUGUGCAUGUGAGCCCACAGAAGAGCCAACUUGAUAGACUCCAUUACCCAGU
Molecule: non-coding RNA, 1026 nt
Organism: Danio rerio (zebrafish)
Lineage: Eukaryota; Metazoa; Chordata; Actinopteri; Cypriniformes; Danionidae
Source: Ensembl